UCAUAGAUAUCAUCCAAAUAUAAAAUUUUUGUGAGUUUCGAGUCAAUAAAAUAUUAAAUUCUAUCGAAUUCAUAAAGUUACUGCUUAUGUCACUCUAUAUAGUUGAUUUCUUGGAAGAUGUUUUAGGGUUUGUGUUUUUAUUCUUUCCUAUAAAAGGAGUUGUGUCUCUGAUUUUAGAUCUGACUAAUUUCUUGGGUUUGUGUGAAGCAAAGAGAGAGGAAGGAGGGGGGACAGAGAGAAUCAAGACUGACAGAAGAGAGUGAGCACACGCAGUCGAAUUGUAUAAACAUUUAUACAAUUGUCAUUUGCGUGUGCUCACUUCUCAUUCUGUCAGCUCUCUCAGAAUUUAAGUUUCUCCUCUUUCUUUCUUUUUUCGUUUCCACCACCUACAUGAGAUGUUGAAAGGGUUCAAAUAAAUCUCGUUUUAAAAAUUUAUAUAUAGCAAACGUUGAAUUCUCUUUGAUGUUAUCUGCCACUCAUAGCUACUACUUCCAUCACUUAUAGCUAUUCUUUAAAAGUUAUGUUUCUUUCUUUCUUAUCUUGUGAUAGAUGUUUGAAGAAAAAAGUUAUACUAGUAUAUCUAAGCUAUAGACUGAUGGACAUGACAUUUCAGCACACCCACAAUAAAAUUAAACAUAGUAGAUAUGUUUUUGUUUCAUUGUUCUUUUCUUUCGGAAGCAAAUUCACAAUUUGAAGUUUAUAGAUUUCUGCAACAACCUCAAGCUAUCACUACAAAGUGACCGCAUUCAUAGUUAAAUAUUUAGUAAACUUCUUUUUUUAUAUAUACGAACAAAAUUUACUGAAUUCAUGUGAAUCUGUAUAUGAAAUUCUCUAGUAUGUAUAUUUGUUGUUGGUGGUGGUUUUGGUGAUUAGACAGAAAAGAGGAUGAAGUUUAUCAUAAGAUGAGGUAAGAGUAUGAGACUAUGAGGUUUAGGGGUUUUACUCUUUUUUUUUUAUUGUAAAUAAAUAUAUCUCAUAAUUAUGUAAUUAAAUAUUGUACUAAGCAUGUCUUUUCAUGUACUUGUUAGAGGACAAUUGUAGAUUUGGAAGGUACAUCUCUUCCUAUUCUGUCUUUUUUUUUUGUACAAAUCUGGUAAAUUUUUUGCAAAAAUUUAGAAAUCAAUCACUAUUCUAGAUAUCUAACAACUUUUUUAUCAUGUACUAUUAACUUCAUUGAUCUAUUUGUUGAUUUUGUUCUUAAAAAUUCUUGAUUUGUUUUGCUUCUAGGAAUCCCACAUAGGUGGUUUAUUGGACUAGUUUAUUUAACAGGGUGUCAGAGUCAGGUUCAUAUGUUGGGCCCUGAGAUAGAUUGUUCACGCAUCCAGUACCGGACACACGAAUCAUGUCGGGGCGUGCUUGAGUGAUGAAUGAAUGAAGGAAUCCCUAAUUUUCUCAGCAGAAUCACAAGGUGAAGUAUAGACAUGUCGAGCAUUUCAUAUUAACGCGAUAUGAAGAAAGGCUUUAUGGAUUAACAUAUUAUCUGACCUUGUGUUGUCAAAACAUUGAUGUGUGUUGCCAAUUUUCCAUCAGUCAGCUAAAUGUCACCCCUAGAAUAGCUAGCUUGUUGGAGGCUUCUAUACAAAUCCUUGGUAUUGUUAAGAAAAUGAUAUCACGUACGGAUCUAAUACAACUACAAAGAUAGCUCAUGAGUUGAUUAUCUUAUAAGAUCAUAUAACGAGACAACAACUCACAACUCAUGGAUAAUUGGAGAGUAGUUAGUUCUAAUGUGGCGUGAACAUUGAGCAACACAACAACGUAACAUCGAUGGAUAUGUUGCCUUAGGAACCAUUUAUCUGAUGAGUUGACACAUGAAUUUUGAGUGCAACAUCUACAUCCAGUUUUUACCAGGGCUAGCUUGGGAUGAUCAAAUGCUCAAGUAAAGGGAUAUAAUUCAUUGCGCGUUGAUUCAAUUAUGACAAGGGCUCAUUCGGGGGUGGUGCUCCCAAGAGGAUUUUCUCUAUACCCCGGGCUUGAACCCGGCCGAGACCUCUAGUUAAUAUGGGAGACUGGGAGUUUCGAUUUUGGCUUGGAAGAUGUUCUUUUUCCCACUUCACCCGAUCAAUUGUGUUCUUACUUAAACUUCAACGUGAUUCAAUAGUUGGAGGUGCUCAAUCCCUAAAGCACACCACACUCGUAUUGGCUUGGACGAUUGAAGAUAAUAAUUACCAACAUUUGAACACAAGAAAGUACUCCAUCCGUCUCUAAAUAAGUGUCAUCUAAUUAACUAGGAAAGAAAAAGUCCCAGGUUCCAGAUCCUAGGAGUCAAUAAGCAUUUGGUACGUGUAUUCAUGAGUGCUGUUUUUGGCCUUGGAGGAUUAGGAUCAAAUGAAACGUUUCAUUUUCUUUUUCUUGCUAA
This is a long non-coding RNA of Solanum tuberosum (potato), 2356 nucleotides long. RefSeq lists it as uncharacterized. Lineage: Eukaryota; Viridiplantae; Streptophyta; Magnoliopsida; Solanales; Solanaceae. The record is from RefSeq and is a predicted model, not a curated record. The transcript is spliced from 5 exons.